CUGUAUAAAGAAGGGGGAAAACCACAACUUCCAUCAGUACCACAUCAUAUACCUUGUCUAAAUCAUCCCAAUAUGAGACAUGCUAUCUGGAUUAAAUAUAAGUGUUUAAAUUAGAGAAUAAUAGGUAUUGUGGUUCACAAAGUUAAGCCUCUCAUUGCAGGAAGUGUUAGGUGCCAAAUCUAUUAAAAAUAACUUAAAUGAUAACUUUUUUUACAGAUGGGAAAUUACUAGUGCGUGUUGAGUGGGAAAUACCUGAGGAACUGUGGGAAAUACCUGAGGAACUGUGAGAAACUGCUGUUAAAAGGUGUCAAAAGAAAUUUGCUUGGAAAUUACAAAAGAGGAAGUGACAAGGAAAUAGGGGGCAAGACCAGACUGACCACUACAACUCGCCACCGAGAAGAAUAUAAACACCUGCUGUGAGCUGCAACCUCAUAGGCAGGAUUGGUGGGGGUGUAAGCCAUACUGGACCCCUAUUAUUCCUUCUUCUGUCACUUAUCCUUUUCCCUUUUGAGACACCAGCAAAGCCAUGUUACAAAUGCUAUCGAAAGCUUUACAUGGAAAGACACCGGGGUUUCUUUCUUAUUACCCACACCAGUAUCAAUAAUCACUGCUAUAACCCAUCCAAAUUAAGUACCUGUAUGCAUAAAAGGAAAAAUAUUAGACCACAGAAAAUCUAGGAACAAGUAGUAACAGAUUAGAAAACAACUGCCCAAAAGGAGAAAAAGAUGGAUUUGCUUCACAGUUGUUGCCAGGAGAAAUAAGCAAGAUUUGGUAAGAGAGCAAAUGGUAAGUGAAAAGAUAAAGCCAACACAGCAACCUAGACCUGUAUUAACCUCAUGUCAGGACCUGUAAGCAAAGCUCAAACAGCAAUUAAAUGGAGAAAAUUUCUUCAUGAAGUGAGAAAUACUCCUGAUUUGGUAAGAGAGCAAAUGGUAAGUGAAAAGAUAAAGCCAACACAGCAACCUAGACCUGUAUUAACCUCAUGUCAGGACCUGUAAGCAAAGCUCAAACAGCAAUUAAAUGGAGAAAAUUUCUUCAUGAAGUGAGAAAUACUCCUGGUAAAAAGUAUAAAGUU
Poecile atricapillus (Black-capped chickadee) is the source of this 1075-nucleotide long non-coding RNA. RefSeq lists it as uncharacterized. The record is from RefSeq and is a predicted model, not a curated record. Lineage: Eukaryota; Metazoa; Chordata; Aves; Passeriformes; Paridae. The transcript has 3 exons.